AUGAUGGAUAGGCCAAGUACUUCUACCAACCCACUCUUCAUCGAGCAAGACGACGACAUGUCAUCAUACAUCACCAAGAGCCACCUCUUUGGUGCACAACGAGCAUUGCAUCAAGAGCAACAAGCAAUGAACGACCGCAUCGACAACCUCGCCACCGACUUACGACUCUCCGAGCAACGUACAAGAGACUACUUCGACAACAAGCUCGACGCGCACAAGCAAGAGAACGAUGCAAGAAUGGACGAGAUCCGCGCCUUGUUGGUGAACCGGCCUCCUUCUACAUCCUCAUACUCAAGACGGAGCCACUCAAGCCGACACUCCGACGACUCCUUCUCCGGCUCAAGUACACCGUCAUCGAACACUCUUCGACGAGCCGCGCGUCAAGACCGUCAUGCAUCUCGCAACCCGCUACAUGUCAAGCAUUCACAAGAGCAAGACGAUGAGCAAGUACCUCGUCCCCAAUCAAACCAAGUAGCGUUUGCUCAAGCUCAAGAACGACAACGUCUUCAUCGCCAAGAAGAACAAGAACGAGCGCGUCUACACCAAGAGCAACAAGACGCCGAGGCUCAACGUCUCCAACAACAACAACGAGAAGCACAAGCUCGCGAGGCGAAACGUGCCCUUCAAGCAUCAAGUCGAGCUAUCGCCAACCGCAAUCGCGAACGGUGCAAUCAAGAGGAAGCCCUUCGAGAAGAAAUCCAAGAGAGGAACUACCAUCCGCGUGUCCAACGUCAAGCUACCUCACAAGCUCCUCAAGCUCAACCUCAACCUCAAGGUCAACAAGAGCAAGUUGAUCAUGGACUUCCUCCACGCCAAGAGCAACAUGAGGAUGAUUACCCUCCACGUCAAGGGCGUCAUCAUCACCAUCGCCAACAACACAAUGAAGAGCAACGCUAUGGAAAGCUCAAAUUCACAAUGCCCAAGUUCAAUGGAAGCAAUGACCCCGAAGAGUACCUUUCAUGGGCAUUGAAGGUCGACAAGAUCUUUCGUUUGCACAACUAUGAGGAAGAGAAGAAGAUCGCUAUGGCAUCACUUGAGUUCCAAGACUAUGUGCUCAUAUGGUGGGAACAAGUCCUUGAGCGCCGACAAGCAAGAGGUGAACCUCCAAUCACCACUUGGGCUCAAAUGAAGGAUGUCAUGCGAGCACGUUUUGUGCCAACCUACUACAACCGUGAUCUCUUCAAGAAGCUAUAA
This 1194-nucleotide ribosomal RNA is filed under the name Triticum aestivum (bread wheat). Its description in RNAcentral is "partial small subunit ribosomal RNA". Lineage: Eukaryota; Viridiplantae; Streptophyta; Magnoliopsida; Poales; Poaceae. The record is from RNAcentral.